Xenia sp. Carnegie-2017 is the source of this 268-nucleotide long non-coding RNA. RefSeq lists it as uncharacterized. The transcript has 2 exons. The record is from RefSeq and is a predicted model, not a curated record. Lineage: Eukaryota; Metazoa; Cnidaria; Anthozoa; Malacalcyonacea; Xeniidae.
GUACUUCUUCAGCGUGUUGGUGGAUAUCGGAUUUAAGGUUGUGUAUUUACGGGAAGGGGUAUCAAUUUCAAUCGAUAUUUGCUUUUCGCAGCUAGCGCUUUAGAAAUGCCUGACGGGAAGCUAUAGGAUGAGUCAGUUCUCGGCUCGGUGGCUUAUGAUUCGCUAAAGCAAGCAGCCAGAUGGCAGGAUCGAAUCGAGUCAGCUGACUUGUGAGCUGUGACCAUUGACCUUUGAUGGAGCUGCUGUGACAAGACAAAAGUAGUUUCAA